This 391-nucleotide ribosomal RNA is filed under the name Pseudocalanus sp. RNAcentral's name for it is "partial small subunit ribosomal RNA". It matches the Rfam family "Eukaryotic small subunit ribosomal RNA", at positions 582 to 975 of the family's 1831-position model. Lineage: Eukaryota; Metazoa; Arthropoda; Copepoda; Calanoida; Clausocalanidae. The record is from RNAcentral.
AUUCCAGCUCCAAUAGCGUAUAUUAAAGUUGUUGUGGUUAAAAAGCUCGUAGUUGGAUCUCGGCGGUCUGAGGGCGGUUCGCUUCAGAGCGCUACUGCCCUAUAGACCGUAGUUUUGCCAGAGGUCUCAGGGUGCUCUUAACCGAGUGUCUUGCGAUGCUGGCAGGUUUACUUUGAAAAAAUUAGAGUGCUCAAAGCAGGCUUUUACGCCUGAAUAUUCGUGCAUGGAAUAAUAGAAUAGGAAGUCGUUUCUAUUUUGUUGGUUUUCGGAAAUCGACUUAAUGAUUAAUAGGGACAGUCAGGGGCACUCGUAUUCCGCCGAGAGAGGUGAAAUUCUCAGACCAGCGGAAGACGAACCACUGCGAAAGCAUUUGCCAGGGAUGUCUUCAUCA